AGUAUAAGCAAUUAUACAGCGAAACUGCGAAUGGCUCAUUAUAUAAGUUAUCGUUUAUUUGAUAGUACCUUACUACUUGGAUAACCGUGGUAAUUCUAGAGCUAAUACAUGCUAAAAAUCCCGACUUCGGAAGGGAUGUAUUUAUUAGAUUAAAAACCAAUGCCCUCUGGGCUCUCUGGUGAUUCAUGAUAACUUCUCGAAUCGCAUGGCCUUGCGCCGGCGAUGGUUCAUUCAAAUUUCUUCCCUAUCAACUUUCGAUGUUUGGGUAUUGGCCAAACAUGGUCGCAACGGGUAACGGAGGGUUAGGGCUCGACCCCGGAGAAGGAGCCUGAGAAACGGCUACUACAUCCAAGGAAGGCAGCAGGCGCGCAAAUUACCCAAUCCCGACACGGGGAGGUAGUGACAAUAAAUACUGAUACAGGGCUCUUUCGGGUCUUGUAAUUGGAAUGAGUACAAUUUAAAUCCCUUAACGAGGAACAAUUGGAGGGCAAGUCUGGCCC
This 500-nucleotide ribosomal RNA is filed under the name Acremonium sp. SA_NXE1. RNAcentral's name for it is "SSU rRNA". It matches the Rfam family "Eukaryotic small subunit ribosomal RNA", at positions 62 to 567 of the family's 1831-position model. Lineage: Eukaryota; Fungi; Ascomycota; Sordariomycetes; Hypocreales; Bionectriaceae. The record is from RNAcentral.